GGGGGCGUAGCUCAGUUGGGAGAGCGUUUGAAUGGCAUUCAAAAGGUCAGGGGUUCAAUUCCCCUCGUCUCCA
This 73-nucleotide transfer RNA is filed under the name Spirochaetota bacterium. RNAcentral describes it as "Spirochaetes bacterium (marine sediment metagenome) tRNA-Ala". It matches the Rfam family "tRNA". Rfam says of the family: Transfer RNA (tRNA) molecules are approximately 80 nucleotides in length. Lineage: Bacteria; Pseudomonadati; Spirochaetota. The record is from RNAcentral.